UGGGGAAUUUUGGACAAUGGGCGCAAGCCUGAUCCAGCCAUGCCGCGUGAGUGACGAAGGCCUUAGGGUUGUAAAGCUCUUUUGGCGGGGAAGAUAAUGACGGUACCCGCAGAAUAAGCUCCGGCUAACUUCGUGCCAGCAGCCGCGGUAAUACGAAGGGAGCUAGCGUUGUUCGGAAUCACUGGGCGUAAAGCGCACGUAGGUGGGCAGUUAAGUCAGGGGUGAAAGCCCGAGGCUCAACCUCGGAAUUGCCUCUGAUACUGGCUGUCUAGAGUUCGAGAGAGGUGAGUGGAAUUCCUAGUGUAGAGGUGAAAUUCGUAGAUAUUAGGAAGAACACCGGUGGCGAAGGCGGCUCACUGGCUCGAUACUGACACUGAGGUGCGAAAGCGUGGGGAGCAAACAGGAUUAGAUACCCAAGUAGUCCCUGAGCGGGCUGGCAAGGCGCAU
This 447-nucleotide ribosomal RNA is filed under the name uncultured bacterium. Its description in RNAcentral is "bacterial SSU rRNA". It matches the Rfam family "Bacterial small subunit ribosomal RNA", at positions 355 to 825 of the family's 1533-position model. The record is from RNAcentral.